GGAGACUCCAGAGAGAUCAUCCGCACCCGGAAUGUCAAACCGUGUGGCAGAAACACCUGCCUCGAUGUCAUUGAAAUUGUUAAUUUGUGGAGAGAGCUCGCCAAUCAUAUUCGUACUGUUAUCUUCAGGAUCAACUUCAAUGACAGCUUCUUGUAGCUGAAGUGCAUACUCCAAAUUCCAUAACACGUCUCCCAUAGAUGG
Molecule: unclassified non-coding RNA, 201 nt
Filed under: Hevea brasiliensis (rubber tree)
Lineage: Eukaryota; Viridiplantae; Streptophyta; Magnoliopsida; Malpighiales; Euphorbiaceae
Source: RNAcentral